GUAAAUUUGUCUUCGCUUUUCUCCAAGAAAGGGGCUAGAUUGGCAGAAGCUGUACAGAAGUUGGGAAGAUAAUCCGGAUGUCGGUUUUAUUGCAUUGAAGUGGCAAGGCAUUUUGUGCGGGUGGGGAUAUGGUGUCUCUCUAUCAUUUCAGCAAGAAAAACUAAAAGAAGGAAAUAAAUUCAUACAAUUAUGAGGGAAUGGAGGAAAUGAGGACCAAAAAUUAAGGAGCCCAAACCGAUAGGGAAAGAAGAUAUACUGGUGACAUUGUGGGGGAUAUUUCAUGCAGUCUUGAUAUUGAGGCUAUCAGGA
Rosa chinensis is the source of this 309-nucleotide long non-coding RNA. RefSeq lists it as uncharacterized. The transcript has 5 exons. The record is from RefSeq and is a predicted model, not a curated record. NCBI's taxonomy places the organism in Eukaryota, Viridiplantae, Streptophyta, Magnoliopsida, Rosales, Rosaceae.